AAUGGGCGCAAGCCUGAUCUAGCCAUGCCGCGUGAGUGAUGAAGGCCCUAGGGUCGUAAAGCUCUUUCGCCAGGGAUGAUAAUGACAGUACCUGGUAAAGAAACCCCGGCUAACUCCGUGCCAGCAGCCGCGAUAAUACGGAGGGGGUUAGCGUUGUUCGGAAUUACUGGGCGUAAAGCGCGCGUAGGCGGAUUAGAAAGUUGGGGGUGAAAUCCCAGGGCUCAACCCUGGAACUGCCUCCAAAACUACUAGUCUAGAGUUCGAGAGAGGUGAGUGGGACUCCGAGUGUAGAGGUGAAAUUCGUAGAUAUUCGGAAGAACACCAGUGGCGAAGGCGGCUCACUGGCUCGAUACUGACGCUGAGGUGCGAAAGUGUGGGGAGCAAACAGGAUU
This 392-nucleotide ribosomal RNA is filed under the name uncultured Gammaproteobacteria bacterium. RNAcentral's name for it is "bacterial SSU rRNA". It matches the Rfam family "Bacterial small subunit ribosomal RNA", at positions 370 to 779 of the family's 1533-position model. Lineage: Bacteria; Pseudomonadati; Pseudomonadota; Gammaproteobacteria. The record is from RNAcentral.